UACGUAGGGUGCAGGCGUUAAUCGGAAUUACUGGGCGUAAAGCAUGCGCAGGCGGUUUGCUAAGACAGGUGUGAAAUCCCCGGGCUUAACCUGGGAACUGCGCUUGUUACUGGCAGGCUUGAGUGUGGCAGAGGGGGGUGGAAUUCCACGUGUAGCAGUGAAAUGCGUAGAGAUGUGGAGGAACACCGAUGGCGAAGGCAGCCCCCUGGGCUAACACUGACGCCUCAUGCACGAAAGCGUGGGGAGCAAACAGG
Molecule: ribosomal RNA, 254 nt
Filed under: uncultured bacterium
Lineage: Bacteria
Description: partial 16S ribosomal RNA
Rfam family: Bacterial small subunit ribosomal RNA
Source: RNAcentral